AGUAAAAGUCGUAACAAGGUUUCCGUAGGUGAAGCAGAUGCACGUUUGCCUACCGAAGCCGAGCGGGUCGACCCUAAACACCUGCGCGAGUCUGCCCUCCGGUCGGGGCGGGCGACGCCAUCAAUCUGUGCUGGGAGCGAUCCUUCGGGCGUAACCAGCAGCUCGUCAAAGAGUUCACAGAUCAAACGACGGCGGCUAUGUAUAUCCAUGGUUUAGAUAUGAUCGGCCCCAACUGUCAUAAGUUGGCGAAAUGUUUGCGGAACCUGCGGAAGGAUCAUUAUCGAGAGGGGUCUCCGGACUCCGGGGGCUUCGGCCCCCUUCUCUUCACCCGAUGUUUACCCACCCUCGUUGCUUUGGCGGGCCUCGGGCUCGACCCGUGCCGGCCGUGGGCCCUCAUACCCCCGGCCGUCCGUGCCCGUCAGAGGUUUAUGAACCCUCGUCUAUCAGUGUCGUCCGAGUAAAAGCACAACAGUAAAAACUUUCAACAACGGAUCUCUUGGUUCUGGCAUCGAUGAAGAACGCAGCGAAAUGCGAUAAGUAAUGUGAAUUGCAGAAUUCAGUGAAUCAUCGAAUCUUUGAACGCACAUUGCGCCCCUCGGUAUUCCGGGGGGCAUGCCUGUUCGAGCGUCAUUGCAUCCCUCAAGCGUAGCUUGGUCUUGGGCCUUCGCCUCCCGCGGCGGGCCUGAAAGUGAGUGGCGGUCCGGUGCGGGUUCAAGCGUAGUACAAUACCUCCCGCUUUGGAAGAUCGCGCCGUGGCCGGCCAUGACGCCCAACUUUUCAAUGA
Molecule: ribosomal RNA, 784 nt
Filed under: Lecanora sp. 2 SPO-2012
Lineage: Eukaryota; Fungi; Ascomycota; Lecanoromycetes; Lecanorales; Lecanoraceae
Description: eukaryotic LSU rRNA
Rfam family: 5.8S ribosomal RNA (bases 477-630)
Source: RNAcentral